CUCAUCCCCAACGUGCUUAGCACAGGUUUUGCCUUCAUAGAUGCUAAGCUUGCUGGGGCUAUCUCGCAGGAGAGGAAUGAUAAUGGCGAAGUGUUCAGCACAGAGGGACAGUACCCUGAGAGUGGCCCGGAACUCUACUCUGCUCCCACUGACACUUCUUCAAGUGCGAAGGCUAGCAAGGACAAAAAUAGGACUCACAAGGACUCGAACUUCACAGAGGAGCACUGCAAUGGUGAAGACUUGAACAGCACCCUCCCCUCGGUUACAGCUGAACAAGCUGUUUGCGCUGAGAUUAGAGUCUCUGCUGCAGACUCUGCCCCCCAGGACUGUGUGUCUGGCCUGAGCAUUGUGUCUUCACUGGGUGACCUAUUGGAGGGACAAGAGACUGUGAAAUCCCAGGUGUCCAAGCAGCAUAAGCUAGACGUAGAGGCAAAGAGUGUUGCCACUGGAAUCACUGAUGGAGGGCAGGUCGUGAGUCCCCAGGGUGAGAGACCUAGGAGCGCUGGCAGGACGAGCCCGACGUUGGAUGGGCAUGAGCCCUGGUUUGAUUGCGAAGGAGAUCUCUACCGUGGCGAGGAG
Long non-coding RNA from Clupea harengus (Atlantic herring), 579 nucleotides. Lineage: Eukaryota; Metazoa; Chordata; Actinopteri; Clupeiformes; Clupeidae. The record is from Ensembl.